GUGAAUCAUCAAAUUUUUGAACGCAAAUUGCACUCUCUGGUAUUCCGGAGAGUAUUCCUGUUUGAGGGUCAGUUUAAAUAAAAAUCUGUGUGUUUGCUGCCUUUCUUGGUGACGCACCGGAUUUGGUUCGUCUUUCCUUCUGUUACGUGACCUAAAAUUUUUCAUGAUUUUUUCGCACGUA
This 181-nucleotide unclassified non-coding RNA is filed under the name Glomeromycotina sp. Its description in RNAcentral is "partial contains 5.8S ribosomal RNA and internal transcribed spacer 2". The stretch from base 1 to 71 matches the Rfam family "5.8S ribosomal RNA", at positions 84 to 154 of the family's 154-position model. Lineage: Eukaryota; Fungi; Glomeromycota. The record is from RNAcentral.